Molecule: ribosomal RNA, 425 nt
Filed under: uncultured bacterium
Lineage: Bacteria
Description: partial 16S ribosomal RNA
Rfam family: Bacterial small subunit ribosomal RNA
Source: RNAcentral
GUGGGGAAUCUUGCGCAAUGGGCGAAAGCCUGACGCAGCCAUGUCGCGUGAAUGAUGAAGGUCUUAGGAUUGUAAAAUUCUUUCACCGGGGACGAUAAUGACGGUACCCGGAGAAGAAGCUCCGGCUAACUUCGUGCCAGCAGCCGCGGUAAUACGAAGGGGGCUAGCGUUGCUCGGAAUUACUGGGCGUAAAGGGCGCGUAGGCGGACAGCUUAGUCAGAGGUGAAAGCCCAGGGCUCAACCGUGGAAUUGCCUUUGAUACUGGCUGUCUUGAGUUUGGGAGAGGUGAGUGGAACUCCGAGUGUAGAGGUGAAAUUCGUAGAUAUUCGGAAGAACACCAGUGGCGAAGGCGACUCACUGGCCCAAUACUGACGCUGAGGCGCGAAAGCGUGGGGAGCAAACAGGAUUAGAUACCCCAGUAGUCC